ACUACAGGCACGCGCCACCAUGCCUGGCAGAAGAUUGGGAGCAACCUAAACAUCCAUCACAGGGGAUGGCUAGAUGGAUUUGUAGACGACGGAGUCCUCCGCAGUCCUCAAGAGAAAUGAAGAGCGAUUUACAUCUAGACAUGGAAUGGUCCCCAGAACACUUCGUUUAUGCGAAAUGCAAGCGCAGAGCCGUCCCUCAAGCCAAAACAAGAUCAGCCAGGGCUUGCAAAGGCCCGCGAUGAGGGUGUACAAUAGGUGAUGCUUCUACUGUUUGGAGAGCCUCCGAUGGGCAGCCUCUCUCAGGGACUCUGCCCGGCCCAGCCCAGGAGAAGACGGGAGCUGGGAAGCUCAGGGAGGGCUGGGAGCAGCCGCCAGCCACAGUGAGCAGAGGGCGCAGGCAGACCUGGCAGGCGUUGAGGGCUGGAGUCUCGGGCGGCCAGCCCUUGACACCUCGCACGGGGAUGGUGCCUGGUCUUCACUUGUUCUGUGUCAGAGUUACAGCCCCGCGCUGGGGACGCUGGCUCUCUGCGUCUGUCUGCUGGGCCUCCCGUGGAAGCCAGGCCUGGUGGAGCCACAUGAAUAUUGAUGUCUGCGCAGCCACCCUGCAGGGAGAGCCGCGGAGCCCCGCUGGGCAGCCCUGGGUGCAUGGAGUCCUGAUGCGAGGGGGCUGGCGGAGGCCAGGGGCUGCCAGGAGGGGCAGGAACCCCAGGACGGAGAAGACCGCAGGGUGACAAACACCAAAUCCAGCAGUCACCUGCGGGGAGGAAGAGGAGAGCGAAGGGGUGGCCUUGCAAAAUAACAGGGAAACACCUAACCCGACAACUGUCCCCGUAACAAUUAAACGUCAGUCCCGCGAGUUCUCUCGCUAACAGGCGCCUGCGGAAGUCAAGCUUUGCACAACUUCUGGAAAAGCUGCAUGGACAGAAAACAGAUGUGAAUCUCUCUCCUUCAAAAUUGUUGUUUUGAGAAUCUGCUUUUACAGAGUUCCCGAGUAAACAGCGGGAGCAGGAGCUACAGCCUCAGCCAUAUCUGGAGGACAGAGGCACAUCUCCGGUGACCAUCCCUUCUCCAAGGGAGGCAGGACACCGAGUCUUGGACUUUGACAUCCUUGCAGUUUUUGUUAUCUACCUGCUGCCGCUUUUUAAAAAUCAACUGGCAGCCAUCACUAGUUUUCUGUCUUCCUCCCCCUUAAAAUCAGCAAGACCCUUGGCCUCGCUGCUGGCACGGCCUUCUCUUUGUUUGGGAUGCCAUGCAUUUCCCUUCCCUUCCCUUCCCUUCCUUCC
Microcebus murinus (gray mouse lemur) is the source of this 1283-nucleotide non-coding RNA. The record is from RefSeq and is a predicted model, not a curated record. Lineage: Eukaryota; Metazoa; Chordata; Mammalia; Primates; Cheirogaleidae.